RNAcentral lists this ribosomal RNA (253 nucleotides) under uncultured bacterium. RNAcentral describes it as "partial 16S ribosomal RNA". It matches the Rfam family "Bacterial small subunit ribosomal RNA", at positions 524 to 776 of the family's 1533-position model. The record is from RNAcentral.
UACGUAGGGGGCUAGCGUUGUCCGGAAUCAUUGGGCGUAAAGAGCGUGUAGGCGGUCCGGUAAGUCCGCUGUGAAAGUCGGGGGCUCAACCCUCGAAUGCCGGUGGAUACUGUCGGGCUAGAGUGCGGAAGAGGCGAGUGGAAUUCUUGGUGUAGCGGUGAAAUGCGCAGAUAUCAGGAGGAACACCUAUUGCGAAGGCAGCUCGCUGGGACGUAACUGACGCUGAGACGCGAAAGCGUGGGGAGCAAACAGG